GAUGAACGCUGGCGGCGUGCCUAAUACAUGCAAGUCGAGCGAACAGAUGAGGAGCUUGCUCCUCUGACGUUAGCGGCGGACGGGUGAGUAACACGUGGAUAACCUACCUAUAAGACUGGGAUAACUUCGGGAAACCGGAGCUAAUACCGGAUAAUAUAUUGAACCGCAUGGUUCAAUAGUGAAAGACGGUUUUGCUGUAACUUAUAGAUGGAUCCGCGCCGCAUUAGCUAGUUGGUAAGGUAACGGCUUACCAAGGCAACGAUGCGUAGCCGACCUGAGAGGGUGAUCGGCCACACUGGAACUGAGACACGGUCCAGACUCCUACGGGAGGCAGCAGUAGGGAAUCUUCCGCAAUGGGGGAGAGCCUGACGGAGCAACGCCGCGUGAGUUAUGAAGGUCUUCGGAUCGUAAAGCUCUGUUAUUAGGGAAGAACAAAUGUGUAAUUAACUAUGCACGUCUUGACGGUACCUAAUCAGAAAGCCACGGCUAACUACGUG
Molecule: ribosomal RNA, 497 nt
Filed under: uncultured bacterium
Lineage: Bacteria
Description: partial 16S ribosomal RNA
Rfam family: Bacterial small subunit ribosomal RNA
Source: RNAcentral